Molecule: transfer RNA, 68 nt
Filed under: Marmota monax (woodchuck)
Lineage: Eukaryota; Metazoa; Chordata; Mammalia; Rodentia; Sciuridae
Description: tRNA.Ala
Source: RNAcentral
GGAUUGUGGCUCAGCGGUAGAGCGCUAGUCUAGCAUGUGUAGGGCCCUGGGUUCGAUCCUCAGCACCA